Molecule: long non-coding RNA, 4258 nt
Organism: Meriones unguiculatus (Mongolian gerbil)
Lineage: Eukaryota; Metazoa; Chordata; Mammalia; Rodentia; Muridae
Exons: 3
Source: RefSeq, a predicted model, not a curated record
CCGGGCCUCCAGCGAGCUCCGCGCGUCCGAGAGGGAGCCAAGGGCUCCCUGGUUCAAAGGGCCGCAGCCCCGAGGGGAUGCUUCCUUGUGUGCCCCGGGGUGCAGAAGCAGACUGCAGGGCGGUGGGACCAGCCUGGGCCACGGUGAUAUUGCAACCACGGACUCCCUAGACUCACCAAGUGUUGAAGACACGGGGGCACAAUUUCUGGGAGACUCAGGCACCACCAACACCCUUACUUAGAAUAUUCUAUCGUGACUUCUGGAGGGGUUGGCCAGGUACCCAAACAUCAGGACCCCAAAGAAGGGAAAUAAAAGUGGGAUUGAAGCGCUCCAGGGGUUCCCAGUCGGGGACUGCUUCAACACACUGACUCUGUGUAAGAGGACGAUGCUUCAGGUGUGGUUUUCAGGUGACUGUCCUACGGCCACUCCAUCCUUCCUCCUCAAGGGAUCUGAGUCUCAGCAUGUCUUCGGCGCCGUUAAAUGCACCCCCAAUCCCCGCUAAGAUCUUGUAACUUUUUCUGCCUUGCCCCUAUAAAAGAGUUACACUUUAGAAAAAACUUAAAAAAAAAAAAAGACAAGAAAAGGAUAUAGGUUUGGUAACCGUUAAAUAACUUUCCCAGCGUGUAUUAAAGGAAGAUUGUAUUUUAUCAACAGCUGAUUGAUGCCCGUGUGAGCCUGUCGGUUUGUCUAUAGUAUCAUAUUUAUUUAACCUGCUGGGGGACUGUGUUCAGGGGCAGCCUGUUCACGCUGACAAGAGCGUGCACAUUACACACUACCCCAGGUAUUUUGAUUGAUUGUUCCCACCCCAAAGCCUUUGGUUCAUAAUUUAGCACAGCGGGUUCUGCAUCACAGACAAGGCUGGAAAAAAAAAAAAUAAAAAAAAUAAAAUCCUGUAAGAGAUUUCAAUGAACAACUACUGGCAACAAACCUUUCUUUAUCUGAAACCCCCAAAUAUUUUAAAUACCUUAAUAAUCACAGAACAUUCAACCCUUAUUUAACCCAUUUCCCCGAAGUGGUAACAGAGAAUUCAUUUUAAGUUUUUGGCUGGAUCAGUCAGUCUGUCUUGAACUAGGGGGGUGAAGCUGUGAGGACAUAGUGUGGGCUUUUUCCCCCCUCCUCUUUCUCUUGCAAUAGAAGGCUUGGGGUCUUGAAGGAACAAGGCAGAAGAUAAUGGCUCUUUCCAGAUGCUCCUCUUGUGUGCCUUUGGAAUGUGGUUCAUAAGGUCUUUUGCUGGAAUUGCUACCAUUAUUUAACUCCAUGAGCAAGGAAAGACUACCUUUUUUUCCCCCUUCAGGAGACAAAGUCUUCAGUGUACCUAAGAAUCAUACAAAAAUAUUUGUGUACUUAAAAAAAAAAAAAAAGAAAGUCAUCUCAGCUGUCUGGGUUUAUCCUAGCAAAAAUGGAACCUGAAGUUAGUGACACCUAGUACAGAAGCCAUUUCAUAAUUUCUUCUUGAGGGAUGUCUAAGAAGAAGGAAGCUUUUUGGUAAAAAUCAUUUUUGCGAGCACCAGCAAAAGCACACAUUUUAACUAGUAUGCAUUUAUGGAAUUGUUUUGGCUGUGAUAAAAAUAGGACAUAUAUUCCUUCUUGUAUUUCUGUUAUUCCAUCUUAGUAAUAUUUUUGUAAGAGAUGCAAAAAACUAAGUUUUAAUUGUGUGCUGUGUCCAGUGACAAAAUGAGGCUUAUUGUGCCCUGGUGGUUUUUGCAAUUGUCUUUUAGAGAGUCUUGAAGCCUGAAAGGUCAUCUUAGCAGCAUCAUAUACCUGACUAAGUCCCCUUCCCAGAGUUUAUUUCGGCAUUCUAGGUUGGACGAGGUAGUCAUUAUCAAAAUGGUCAAUUGCAUGAGGUUUCAGGGUGCAGAUAUGUAGACAUUAAAGAAAGAUGUCAAGAGCGUAAUUGCCCUCACACAAGACAAAAUAACUAAUGCCAGUCCCCUGAUUCAUUUCCUAGGUUAUUACUGGGGCAGAAAGAUUUCUUUUAAAAUCUAUGUCGUGAUAAUAGAUAGUGGUGAUAGCAAUUAUUAAAACUUACUUCUUCAUUUCUUCUUCAUUCUUGAAUAUUAUUCACAGAAGCUAUCUUUGGACUUGAUGUGUGCCUUUAAAUAAGGGUAAAGACAUUAACCAAAUUUCAUAGACUCCUCCCAUUUCUAAUUAAUAUUUCUUUUAUUAAAUGCCUCUUGUUUUUAAUGCUGCCGCUAAAGACUUUCUUCCGUCAUCUCAUAUUUGGAACAGGCUUGAAAGAAAGUGGACACUUUCUUUGCCAAUAAUAGCAUGUUCAGCGACAUUUUUUAUCUCUAGAUGUUGCUAUUUAUCCUCAGAAUGAUAUUCAAUGAAAAAAGAAAAACUCAGAACAUUUGGUAACUCCAGGAAGGGCAUCCCUCUGCUGAGAAACAGCCAUGGUCUGUUUUAAGUGCAGACACAGUAUCCAGAAAGAAAGCACAAGGGCAGACUGGCAAAUGAAGUAUUUACCUAUGCCUCCAUGGCAGCCAGGGGCACUGCAAGGCAGACCCAGUGCUGUGGAGGAAAGGGCACUGAUUUGUCAGCAGUAAACAGAUUCUAUGCCUUAUACUUACAGUUGUUAAGGAAGUAUUGAGCUAUCACAUGAAUCCAUCUGUGGUCAUUUUCAAAGCAUUUAGAAAUCAUUGGUUUAUACUGAAAAUGAAUCUUCCUUUCUGCCUUUCUUUUUUCCUUCCUUCCUUUCUUUCUCUCUUUCUCUCUGAAGCAGGGUCUCAUGUAGCCCCAGGUGGUCUCUCACAUGCUGUGUAGUUUGGUGGGUCCUGCCUCUAUCUCCUGGGAUGGCAGGCAUGUGAUACCAUGCCUGGUUUAUGUAGUGCCGGGGUUGAGCUCAGGGACUGGCAUAUACUCAGCUCUAGUAACUGAGUCACAGUCUCUGUGGGGGAACUUUUUGAAAACAAAACAAAACAAAACAAAACAUUUACUGUCAUUUUUUAAAAAAAAUAGAAUACUAUGUUAGUUACCCACAAUAGUGAAUGGAAUUAUUCUAUAUAUUUUUUUUUCUGGGAAAAUCAAACAGACCAAUGUCCCAACUAUUUUUGAGGGAAUAUUUUGAUAAGUUUAAAUACAUGUUUAAAUACAAACACAUACAAAUUAACCUCUUUGAAGUUUGGCUGACUUCUUAACUGUAUAGCACUGGGUGUGUCUAUCUGUCUCUGAGUUCCUUUAUGUAAAGAAAUAAUAAAUCAGGGUUUGUGGAAAGGGUUAUGUGAACAAACUCUUGAGAAGCUCUUACAGCAGAGUUGGGGAGGUAUAACUCCUAGCCACCCAGAAUUUAUUGUUAUAGCCCAUGCUGUACACUGAUGUUUUAAUAUCAUUAUUUAAAAUGAUGUCCCCCCCUGUCACCUAUAGUGUUGUAUGACCAGAUGCUAAAACUAAAACUAAGGUUGAUUUUGUUCUAAAAAGGCUGCUAAAACAAACAAACAAACAAAAACAACAACAAAAACAAAAACAAAACCCAAACCCAAAAAAACCAAAACCAAAACCAAAACCAAACCAAACCAAACCAAAACCAAACCCCACUGUACUGUAGUCAAAUGUUAGCAGAAGAAAAUACCCCCAAGGAGCAAAGCAAUCUUUGCCUUCCUGUGUCUAAUGCUCAAGGCACAGUAAAUAACCAGUAGCCUUAUAUGUAAAGUUCAGCCAACAAUUCAGCUCCAAAAAGUGGUGAGAAUGCCACCAAAAAAUAUUUGCGUACCAGAUCAGAGACACUUGACCUGAAACUCCUAAGGAGUCAAAUAGCUAGAUUUUCGAUUUCCAGCCCCUUUAUUUCAUAAAGAGACCAGCAUGCUGCUUCUCAUGACUGCAGUAGCUAUGUACCUAAGUCCUCCAGAGUCUUGUCUCUCUGUUACCAUUUAACGAGGUAAGGACAUCUCAGCUUUCUCAGUUAAAAGCAUUCUCUUGAAACAUGUGUUUUACAUAUGUAUUAUUAUAUUACAGAUUUCUUCCUAGGAGAAAGUGAUAUGUCCUGGUAACACGUUAGACUGUCUAUUAAAAACUAGGGCAUCAAUGUGAAAAACAAAGGUUGCAGUAACACAAAUUUUCAGGCCCUGCUUAUUUCCUGAUGUGCAUGUUGAGCUUGGGGUUAUAACAAUACCGACCUCAACUGGAAACAUUGGCAACACUACCUGACUGUGGACUCUCUGUGUUUGUGAGCUGCUCCACUGCCACUCCCAGCAGUAACUUGAGAUGAGAGCUCAAGUGCAAGCUGAGUACCCGAGAGGUGGGUGACAGAGCUCUCCCCUUU